This 439-nucleotide ribosomal RNA is filed under the name uncultured bacterium. RNAcentral's name for it is "bacterial SSU rRNA". It matches the Rfam family "Bacterial small subunit ribosomal RNA", at positions 958 to 1398 of the family's 1533-position model. The record is from RNAcentral.
AACGCGAAGAACCUUACCUACCCUUGACAUCCAGAGAAUCCUGCCGAGAAGCGGGAGUGCCGAAAGGAAUUCUGAGACAGGUGCUGCAUGGCUGUCGUCAGCUCGUGUUGUGAGAUGUUGGGUUAAGUCCCGUAACGAGCGCAACCCUUAUCCUUAGUUGCCAGCCUUUAGUUGGGGACUCUAAGGAGACUGCCGGUGAUGAACCGGAGGAAGGCGGGGACGACGUCAAGUCAUCAUGGCCUUUAUGGGUAGGGCUACACACGUGCUACAAUGGCCGGUACAGAGGGCAGCCAACCCGCGAGGGGGAGCUAAUCCCGAAAAGCCGGUCGUAGUCCGGAUCGGAGUCUGCAACUCGACUCCGUGAAGUCGGAAUCGCUAGUAAUCGCGAAUCAGAAUGUCGCGGUGAAUACGUUCCCGGGCCUUGUACACACCGUAGUAC